RNAcentral lists this long non-coding RNA (1494 nucleotides) under Ficedula albicollis (Collared flycatcher). RNAcentral describes it as "lncRNA (ENSFALG00000028189.1)". Lineage: Eukaryota; Metazoa; Chordata; Aves; Passeriformes; Muscicapidae. The record is from RNAcentral.
AUGAGAGCUGGCUGGAGGGGAGCUGGCUCCACCCGUGCUCCCUUCCAUCCCAUCUGGAAAAUCCAGACGUUCCUCUCACCUUCCAGUUCCAUUAUCCAGCCCUUGCACAAUGCACCUCAGAGAUGGGAGAAGAGACAGAGUCUGCCCUCAAAGCAGUGUGGAACACACCAGGUGCUCCCCCCUGACACCCUGCCAGGUUUGCCUCAGGCACACAGGUGGAUAUUUGUCUGUGGGGAGGGUCUCAGCAGCCUGGGCGUGCUGGCCUUUGUGCUUUGGUGUUGCCAGUGCAUUAUUUAUAUAUCCAAAAGGAGCCAGAAGAGAGGUGGGUGCUCAGCUGAAGUUUAAGGUAACUAAACUGACCUAAUUCCUGUCAAAAAUAAUCAGGAUUAAACCUGCACUGUUCCAAGAUGGAAAACUGGGCCCCAGGGUCUGGCUGGGGCUGCUCUGGGUGAUGCUCCUGUCAGGAUUUGCUUUGUGGCGCCAGAACCAUUGAGCUGCUUCUUUAGUUAAUUUAAAUGUGCAUCAUUAGCAGUUAACUUCGUGCCUUCCCAGGCUUGGCAGGUCCUUACUGGGCUGAACAGGAGCUUUCCAUCCAAACCAGCUUCAGCUGUGCUGCUCCCUGCUCCUGCCCAGACCCCUCAUCUCCUCCAGGCUCUGGGAUCCCUCAGCCCUAAGGACUCCAGAGCCUUUGGCACGGCAGGAACUUUCCAGGGUGUGCAAUUCCUGAUGGGGCAGGAGCUCUGCAGGGUUAAUUCCUGACUAAAGCAGGAGUUCUGCAGGGUUAAUUCCUGAUGGGGCAGGAGCUCUGCAGGGUUAGUAAUUCCUGGUGGAGAAGGAGUUCUGCAGGGUUAGUAAUUCCUGAUGGGGCAGUUCUGCAGGGAUAAUAAUUCCUGAUGGGGCAGUUCUGCAGGGGUAAUAAUUCCUGAUGGGGCAGUUCUGCAGGGUUAAUAAUUCCUGAUGGGGCAGUUCUGCAGGGUAAAUUCCUGAUGGGGCAGUUCUGCAGGGGUAGUUCCCGAUGGGGCAGGAGCUCUGCAGUGUUUGCUGCUGGGGAACAUCUCAGGGUGAUGGUGGGCACAGAGGGAAAGCAGGGCUGUCCCCAGGCUCUCCUGCCAGCAUUAACCCCAGCAGCACAGAGCAUUUCCUCUCCUUUGGCCUCGGACCUUGUUGUUCGGGAGAAAAUGAAACAAUAAAGGAGCGUUUGGAGUGAUUUCGUUAGAAAUCCAUCAGGCUGUCAGACAGUCCAGUGGCAUCAAUAAUUCCCUAUUAAGCCCUCUACACCCAUUAUGGUUUGUGCUUUUCCUUUUUUUUUUUUUUUUUUUUUAAGGGGGGGGGGGGGGGGUUUUCCUUUUUUUUUUUUUUUUUUUCCAAAGUUAGUUUCCAGGCAACCAGUAAGAACUGAAUUGCAUUAAGCUAUUAAUUCAGCCUUGCAUGCCAGCUCCAGCUUCUGCAGCCCAGCUCUUCCUCUCCUCUACAAGUGUCCUCCUAAAACCCCUU